Molecule: transfer RNA, 70 nt
Filed under: Fukomys damarensis (Damara mole-rat)
Lineage: Eukaryota; Metazoa; Chordata; Mammalia; Rodentia; Bathyergidae
Rfam family: tRNA
About the family: Transfer RNA (tRNA) molecules are approximately 80 nucleotides in length. Their secondary structure includes four short double-helical elements and three loops (D, anti-codon, and T loops). Further hydrogen bonds mediate the characteristic L-shaped molecular structure. tRNAs have two regions of fundamental functional importance: the anti-codon, which is responsible for specific mRNA codon recognition, and the 3' end, to which the tRNAs corresponding amino acid is attached (by aminoacyl-tRNA synthetases). tRNAs cope with the degeneracy of the genetic code in two manners: having more than one tRNA (with a specific anti-codon) for a particular amino acid; and 'wobble' base-pairing, i.e. permitting non-standard base-pairing at the 3rd anti-codon position.
Source: Rfam by way of RNAcentral
GGAUGUAGUUCAGUGGCAGAGCACUUGCCUGGCCUGCAUGAGGCUCUGGGUUUGAUCCCCAGAACAGCCA